Molecule: transfer RNA, 76 nt
Filed under: Pseudomonadales bacterium
Lineage: Bacteria; Pseudomonadati; Pseudomonadota; Gammaproteobacteria; Pseudomonadales
Also listed under: 6 other names
Description: tRNA-Lys
Rfam family: tRNA
About the family: Transfer RNA (tRNA) molecules are approximately 80 nucleotides in length. Their secondary structure includes four short double-helical elements and three loops (D, anti-codon, and T loops).
Source: RNAcentral
GGGUCGUUAGCUCAGCCGGUAGAGCAGUUGGCUUUUAACCAAUUGGUCGAUGGUUCGAAUCCAUCACGACCCACCA